This is a long non-coding RNA of Helianthus annuus (common sunflower), 416 nucleotides long. RefSeq lists it as uncharacterized. The record is from RefSeq and is a predicted model, not a curated record. NCBI's taxonomy places the organism in Eukaryota, Viridiplantae, Streptophyta, Magnoliopsida, Asterales, Asteraceae. The transcript is spliced from 3 exons.
ACAGAAGAAGCUAGGGGCGAUUUCCCCACUCUCAAAACCUUAAACAUCACUAAACUCUCAAAUUGAAGGCUCAAUCCAAGCUGAAAUCGAAAUUAAAGCAUAGAUUAUUGAUCCUCAUCGCAAGAGGGUUACAAGGAAAGGACGCAGGAGCGUCAAGCGGACAAGCGGUUGGCGAAUCACGUUUGAAGGGCCUACUUUGAAGGUGAUGUUGAAAAGUAACCGGAAGAUGAUCGAGCUAGAUUUUGAAGAACCGAACACUACUUACAAGCUUCCGCAAUGUUUUAAAUCUUUAAUAGACUAUGUUUAUGGGUUGUAAACAUAGUUAAACAUCUUUUGAAAUGUUUUAACUUAGUCGUUAGUUGACUAAGGAUUAUGCUACUUAUGAACUUCUCUUAUGAAAUCUAUGUUAAUUAGCA